UCUUCACUCAUGUGAAAUGAAAGGAAAUGACCAGCCAGUACGUAAUGAUUUUGCCUUUUCAUCUGAGAGAAACAAACAUAAGAAAAACAGGCAGCAACAGCUGCCCUGUGCUUAACUGUGUAGUGGGCUGUGCAACAGAAGCCCUCAGCAAUGGGAUAAAUGGAACAGCUUUCUUUAUACAGAGGAAAUGCUGUUGUUGCUUCAGAGAUCCGCAUCUCCCAUAAAGGAGUACCUCAUGUGAAGAUGUCAGCUCUUUUCCUUGCUUUUAAGUCUAAGCCCCUUUGGCAGUUGAUGAAAUUCUGCUCUCAGAAACAGUCACCUGGCUUCUUCCAACUCAGCGGUUCCAUCCUUACAGCCAUGCCUGGAGCUCAACGCCUGCUGGCAGAGCCCUCUCCUCUCAGCCUCCACAGGUCAGCACGAUAGCACUGUCUCUCUAUGCUUAGGGAGAGGCCUGUCCCGUACAUCCCGUGCCCCCGCAAGACGCCUACUACAACACUGGAUAAAUUUCUAUUCAGAUGCAACUCAGGAUUACAGUUCAAGGCAGAUGGAGUAAGAGACUCACACCCAGAAAAAGAGGUGGUGAAAGUGACUGUUCAGACCUCCCGUUGCUGAGUUUCAGAAGAACGGAAUGUAGAAAACAAAGGAUAAAAUUUAAAAGGUAAAAGUUUACUGCUCGUUAAAUUCUCCUUUGGGAAAUGAAGUUUUGUUAACAACUGAACCUUCUAAAACACCCACUGAUUUUCAUGAAAUGCUACAAUGAAAAGAACUUCCAAGUGCUUCUCAAAGCCAUUUAUUAGUUAAUUAUCUUAGGGAAAUGCAUUUGUUUUCCUGAAACAGCAUCUCCUCCAGAAAUUUACAUUUUAAGGAAUUAUAAAAAGUUCCCAUUCAGAAUGAGAACAACUUUUAGAAUCAGAAUUUUCUACGAGUUCUGAUUAUUGAGCAGCCGCAGACAAUUGGAGUGAUGCUGUCACAGAAAUAACUUGAGAGUUUCACUGGAGAUGGUAAAGAUGCUUAGAAAUUAAUUCUAAGGCUGGAGAACAGAGUCACAUUCUUCCAUCACUUCUGUCAGUGUAAGAUCUGGUGGGAAUAAUAACGCUAAUGGUUUUUUGCUCCAGGUCUGAUCACUAAAUUGUAAUAUCCUGAUGUGAACUGAUACAAAUGUCCAGGUUUCAAAGAGAUGAGUGCAUUUGAAACGUAAUUAAAGGUUAAUUUGUUUUUACAUUAACAAGCACAAUAAAUAAACAGAUACAGUUAAAAAAUAAUUAAAUUCAAUAAUGAAUUAACUGUGUGGAAAAAUACUGCUGUGUUCUGAAAAUCUGAAAGGUCUUUGUAGGAAAAAAUGCAUUGUGGGAAAAUUUCACAUAACAAAUGCUGUCUUCGUAAACAAAACAUUGCUGAUAGGAUUACUCACCUCCAAGAAGAUGCCAACCGCUGUUCAUCUCUCAUUCUUUUGCUGAUCUAAAUUUAAUACUGAUGUCAAUCCAGAUCUUGUUGCAAGUGAUGACUGAUCCCAACUAUUUGGUCAUCACUUUAAUGCAGGGGACUUACACCUUGCAGAAAUGUGUUAUUUUGUAUCAGUACAUUUCUGUGAGGUGUAGGUCAAAUAUACCACUGGGACAAACAUCAGAACCAGGUAUUUUGUAUAUCCUUGUAUGUCUUACAGCCCACAGGACACUUCUGACCCCUGUAUCAUUAUCUUAUAAAACUUCUGCACUUGGAAAUCUGCUGAUUCUGGGAACCUUACUAAUGGCUCAUGAGGCAGAGUAAAAUGCUGCCUCAUUCUGCUGCUUAUACAGUUUUAACAAAGGAAGGUAAAGCUUUGCUUUGUUUCCAAAACAAGCAAAUUCAAACAAAGCUAUACAGAAAAGUAUGGUUAAUCUCUGAUGACAUUUGCACAAAUUUCGGUUGGGUUAGCACAUCACCAGUUACGUCAACACUUACAGUACAACCAUGUAAAAAAUAAACAUUUACAUAAUUACAUUUACAUAAUUAUCAAGAUGGUGAUUAUUCAUUAUUGAGCAUUGCGCACAAUAUGAAUUGUAUAUAUAUUGUAAUACGUGUACACACACACAUUAUACAUUUUAUAC
Molecule: long non-coding RNA, 2087 nt
Organism: Gallus gallus (chicken)
Lineage: Eukaryota; Metazoa; Chordata; Aves; Galliformes; Phasianidae
Source: Ensembl